Molecule: unclassified non-coding RNA, 698 nt
Filed under: Hevea brasiliensis (rubber tree)
Lineage: Eukaryota; Viridiplantae; Streptophyta; Magnoliopsida; Malpighiales; Euphorbiaceae
Source: RNAcentral
UUCUCUGCUCUUUCUGCUGAUGAGGAGGUGGAAUUUGGUAAUGUUUACAUUAUGUUUCCUAUGAAGAGAGUGAAUUCCGUUGUCACUGCAGCUGAUAUGGCUGCACUUUUCAUGGCUGCAAAUUCAGCUGCUAAGCGUGUAUCUGGAGGGAAUAAUAGUAAUAAGGUCAGUGUCUUGCCGGAGGCCAGCAGUUCCCUGCAGGGCAGUGAAGAUGGAGGGUCAAGAUUAGGUAGUUCUGAGGAGGAGAUUGAAGGGUUUCCAAUGCCGGAAUUCAAGUACAGGUUAUCUGUGCGUAGGUCAAGGAAAUCCAUGUUAGAGACCAUAAAAGAAGAACCAGUUCGUUCAAGAUAAGAUUAAUCAUACGCACGAAUCUUGUUUUCUUGAAUCUUUCUCCCAUUUUUUUUAGCAAACAGAGAGAUUUCUUAGGGAUAUGACUUUGAUGGAUUUUGUGUGUACCCAUAUGAUAUGAGAACUGCUGAUCGAAUUAAGUAGCUAGAGAGAAAAAGAAGAAAAAUGUGGAAGCACUUAUAGGUUGUGUUUGACCUGAUUAAAUUGUAAUCAUUCAUAUAAAUUUGUUUAUACUAUAGGAAAUUAAGAGAUGGUGGAUUAAUUUCUCUGUAAUAUAUAUUCCAUAUUAUAUGACGAGCAUUGUGAUUUGCUAGUACAAAAUUAUGAGAGAAUGUUUUUGGAUUCUGGCG